Oreochromis aureus is the source of this 2444-nucleotide long non-coding RNA. RefSeq lists it as uncharacterized. The record is from RefSeq and is a predicted model, not a curated record. The transcript is spliced from 5 exons. Lineage: Eukaryota; Metazoa; Chordata; Actinopteri; Cichliformes; Cichlidae.
CUCGUGUUUAGUUUAGGUUUAAUUCUGCCCGUGUAAAGUCCGUGUUUGCUAGUCUGCAUCUUUGUUUAUUGUUUCCUGUUUUAUUUUGAAAGGUUAUGUACUAUGCCAGUGUGUCCAGCUUCGCUCCCCCUGUCUCGUUAGCCCUGAUCUCUCCCAGCUCUGUCUCCCUCCUGUCUUCCAUUCCCUGAUUACUUCCCUGUGUAUAUUAGCCCUGUGAUUGCCCUUGCUUAGUGUUGUGUUGUACCCUCUCUUCUUCUGUGUGUUCUGUUUGCCAGCCUGCUAACCCGGCUAGUUAUUCUGUACUCCCAGUUUAGUUAGUGUUUUUCUGUUCUGCUUCCUCCCAGCAAUAAAGCUGUGUAUUUUGAAGUUUCUUCCACCUCCUUGAGUCCUGCAUUUUGGGUCCUCUCUUCCUGCCUGCCUACACACAGACAUGACACAGACACCCUGUAUUUUUCCUCACUACUACACAUCAGCCCUUGCGAGCACAACGCUUCGUUCAGCAGAACUGACAGCAAAGCUAACAGUGUUCUUUUUUUUUUUAACAUGGACUUCAUAUAUGCCUGAUUUUUAAGAGCUCGUCACAACGGGACAGCAUACAUUUCACAUACACAAGGAUCACAAGCCUAUAUAGGGCAAACUACACCCCUAAAAAACACAGGGGUCAAAAAGCUGUCCAGAAAUAUCUACAGCAGCGGGAGCAAUAACACCAAGCCUUACAUUAGCAAUCACACAACCCCUUCCCACGAUGCGGACCAUGAAGACCCCUUGAUGCUUUUGGAAUAUAUACGCGAUAUUGAACUCCCAGAACAACAAGAAAAACCACAAGCUUUGUGCAACAAUGGAGACUCAGAACCAUUCUUCAUCACCGGACCAUACAUGCACGCGAGUGCCUGCCUUGUGAUUUCAGCGAUGUUUCUGAGUACAGCCUAUCAGAGUUCAAUAUAGUUGACAUACCCACCACGCCAGAAUGUCUCAGAAACAACAGUGGUACAGACAUAGGUUUUGAAGAAGGCUGCAUAACAGACUCGCAAAUAUCACAGGCAUAUGACGCAUACUUAAAUGCAGCAAACACCUCUACUUUUGAUCAGAGCCAUUCUGCUUCAAACAACGAUAUACUAUCUUUGAUCGAUGCUAAACUCAGCCAACAUCAACAAGCAGUACAGAGGGAUGUGCAAGAAAUAGCAGCUAAAGUCAACCAACAUCAAGAAGCAGCACAGGGGGACUUGCAAUUAAUAGCAGUGGCUCUAACUAGUACCCAGCAGGCAAUAAACAAUACCUGGGAUUUAUUAGAUCUCAUUAGUACCAGAUUGUUAAAUCGCUGACUUUUAAAGUCUACACCAUGGACCCACCCCGUAAAUUAUUCAAACACAAUGAUGGUACCUCCACUCGAGCUAAAUGGUUUCACUUUGAGGCUUUUAACCAGUGGGCUGCGCAAAUAAUAAACAAAUGCGAAGUUUUGCAUGCAAGACUUAGUAGUGUCGCUGUAGCAAACAGUCCUGUCUAAUGCACGUCCUUGUCCAACUCAUUCUGAAGCUGUUGCUGAUGAUGCUGUUUAUAUCGAUGCUGUUGCUCAUGCAACCGAUUCACAUCCGGAUAUGCCUAUUGUCACGGCUGUUGCUGCCGCUGCUGUAGGGACUGUUGUUACUCAGGCUACCGCUGAUUGUCUUAUUGCUGAGGCUUCUGUCACAGCUGAUCGGGAGUGUGCACCUGGCGUACAUGCGUAUCUGGGUGCUGCUGCAGCUGCUGCUGACGCAUCACCACACAACCCCUCAAACAAUGGAAAUUCCAAAAGUGUUAACCAUUCACAAACAGGUGCUGCAGUAUUCGAGCCCAUUGUUCAGUCUGGGGCGGGCAGUUAGUCAGCGUAGCAUUAGAGAGAUACCUAAUUUCAACGCCCGAGAAUUGCGUGAGUGCCUUGAUUUUAGGGACAUAAGUCUUGAUGAUCCAGAACAAGUGUCAGAAAGAGUUAAAAGCUGCCAAUGUGAUAGAGCUGUGGCUGGAUCUCAGCAGGGUUGUGUUCUAAAUGUGGUCCUGCGUGGACCCUCGUUGGCUUCAGAUGUUCAAGCUGUUUUAAAUCCUGAUGAUCAAUAUGACCCUGACCUGUUUCUCGACCAAAUAGCUCAAGUUAUGCAAAGGAAUGACGAAUCUAUCGGUGAUGGUGAAUUAGUUUAUUGUCAUGGUUGCGCAAAACAGUAGCGGUGGCGGCGGUGCUAUAAUCCGCAGGAUUUGUGGAGUGUUCUGAUGGUGAGAGAUAGCAAACCACAGAUCGUUCUAUUGAGAGAUAUGGAGCCGGAGAGGUUCUGUCGUGUGGGAGUAUUUUCGGUUGAUUUUGGUCAGUUUUGGUUGGUGUUGGGAUUCAGAGAUUCUUUUAUUGCUACCAUAUAAUCUGCCUUAUGAUAAAUGCAUUAAGAACAUGUUUUACAGCAUUAUUUUAUCAGUAAUAU